Molecule: long non-coding RNA, 990 nt
Filed under: Olea europaea (common olive)
Lineage: Eukaryota; Viridiplantae; Streptophyta; Magnoliopsida; Lamiales; Oleaceae
Description: long non-coding RNA (OEUR_LNC010545)
Source: RNAcentral
CCUUAAGUGCAAGACAUAAAAACCAAUAUUUUAAAUACCAACCCAAAAAAGAAAAAGGGUCAAGAGUCAAAAGGUCGAACUGGCAAAACCAAGAACAAGUCACGAGUUUUCCAUAAACCGGCCAGCUUAACAGGCUAAGAAACACCGACACGGACACGAGUGUCCGACACGAUACGUGUCCGACACGUCGACACGCUAUUUUUCCAAAAUGUUCCGACACGAUACGUCUUCGACACGUUGAUUAAAAUAUUAAUUUUAAUUUAUUUUAAUAAUUAAAAAUAAUAAUAAUUUUUUUUUAUACUUACUGCAUCUUGUAUAUAAAUAAUUAAAUAAUAAAUAUAAAUAAAAUAUGAUAUUAAAUUCAUAUAUGAAGGGUAAAAUAGUAAAAAAUUAAUUAACAUAAAAUCUUGAAUGUUGUUUAAAGUUGAAAAAAAGUAAUGCAUACUGCAAAAAAAUGUGUACAAUGCAUUAAUAUGACUAAUAUACUACGAAGUGCAUUUAAUAUGUUGGGUCCACUGAACCAGCAGCCUGCUUUGAAAAUUAUAGCCUGCUUUGAAAAUUACCCAACACAGACAGGUACUGUCUUCUCUCUCGUCACUUCUCUCUUUCUCUUCUUCUUCUUCUUCUUCUUCUUCUUCCUUUCUUCUUUCUUCUUUCUUCCUUGCCGUUACCGGAGCAGCAGUGCAGCCAACACAGGUACCGUUUUCUUCCUUCUUUCUUCACUUCUUCACCGUUUCCCUCCAGUUCGACACGCCGCAAGGAACCCGACACGUGUCGGCGACGUGUCUCCGACGUACCCGUGUCCGAUACGUGUCGGACACCGACACGCCGAUGCCGGAAGCGUGUCGGUGCUUCACAGUUAACAGGUUCUGGCACAGAUUUUUAAUUAGAGGUUUUAUAAGCCCUAACUAGACCAGUUUUGGUCUCAGUUCCUAGUUUUCUUGGUUGAAACAGCCAAGCCGGCACGGCUUUUAAAACAUUGAUAAAAAC